GGGCCUAAAGGUAAGCUUAAGGUUCAAUCAAUCUUGAUCAGCAUCUGGAUCCAUACUAAUUUCUUCCUUGAAGUUGUACUCAACCACAAGUCCAAGGUUGUCAACUAAUUUGUGAUACUGAGAGCAGCCUGAACACUGUAUAAACACAGUCCCUCUUUCAUAUGCUAAUCUGUUUAUCAGUCUUUGAGAACGAGCACCACAAGCAUUACAUGUAAAUGUUGCUAACAGACUUCUUCUUGGUAAUUUCAUGUCAAAUACUGCUUCCUUUGAAGAAUCACUUGAAGCAGAUGAAUUCACAGCGUCUGGUUGUGUUUCAGAACUAUCUUCCACAACACAAGAAAUAACUGGAAGCCGGAACAAAUGUUCUGAUGCUCUCCUCUUCCCAUAAAUAGUACUUGACCUAGUAGAUUUAAUACAGAAACGAUAUGAAUUAGAUCUGAAGGAAGAAGGGAACUGAAGAGAACAAAUGGGCACAUGGGUUUUGGUGCAAGUAACAGA
RNAcentral lists this unclassified non-coding RNA (498 nucleotides) under Hevea brasiliensis (rubber tree). The record is from RNAcentral. Lineage: Eukaryota; Viridiplantae; Streptophyta; Magnoliopsida; Malpighiales; Euphorbiaceae.